AGUGAACGCUGGCGGUAGGCCUAACACAUGCAAGUCGAACGGCAGCACAGGAGAGCUUGCUCUCUGGGUGGCGAGUGGCGGACGGGUGAGGAAUACAUCGGAAUCUACUCUGUCGUGGGGGAUAACGUAGGGAAACUUACGCUAAUACCGCAUACGACCUACGGGUGAAAGCAGGGGAUCUUCGGACCUUGCGCGAUUGAAUGAGCCGGGGUCGGAUUAGCUAGUUGGCGGGGUAAAGGCCCACCAAGGCGACGAUCCGUAGCUGGUCUGAGAGGAUGAUCAGCCACACUGGAACUGAGACACGGUCCAGACCCCUACGGGAGGCAGCAGUGGGGAAUAUUGGACAAUGGGCGCAAGCCUGAUCCAGCCAUACCGCGUGGGUGAAGAAGGCCUUCGGGUUGUAAAGCCCUUUUGUUGGGAAAGAAAUCCAGCUGGCUAAUACCCGGUUGGGAUGACGGUACCCAAAGAAUAAGCACCGGCUAACUUCGUGCCAGCCGCCGCGGUAA
Molecule: ribosomal RNA, 506 nt
Filed under: uncultured bacterium
Lineage: Bacteria
Description: partial 16S ribosomal RNA
Rfam family: Bacterial small subunit ribosomal RNA
Source: RNAcentral